RNAcentral lists this ribosomal RNA (431 nucleotides) under uncultured bacterium. RNAcentral's name for it is "partial 16S ribosomal RNA". It matches the Rfam family "Bacterial small subunit ribosomal RNA", at positions 29 to 507 of the family's 1533-position model. The record is from RNAcentral.
AACGAACGCUGGCGGCAGGCCUAACACAUGCAAGUCGAGCGCCCCGCCAGGGGCGCGGCGGACGGGUGAGUAACGCGUGGGAAUAUGCCCUUUGCUACGGAAUAGUCUCGGGAAACUGGGGGUAAUACCGUAUACGCCCUUUGGGGGAAAGAUUUAUCGGCGAAGGAUUAGCCCGCGUUGGAUUAGGUAGUUGGUGGGGUAAUGGCCUACCAAGCCGACGAUCCAUAGCUGGUUUGAGAGGAUGAUCAGCCACACUGGGACUGAGACACGGCCCAGACUCCUACGGGAGGCAGCAGUGGGGAAUCUUAGACAAUGGGGGCAACCCUGAUCUAGCCAUGCCGCGUGAGUGAUGAAGGCCUUAGGGUUGUAAAGCUCUUUCAGCUGGGAAGAUAAUGACGGUACCAGCAGAAGAAGCCCCGGCUAACUCCGUG